AAACAGAGUCGUGUGUGUGUGUGUGUGUGUGUGUGUGUGGGUGUGGGUGUGUGUGUGUGUUUUAGUUUAAACUGCUCUGAACACAGCUGACAGGAAGCGGUCGUAUACACUGAUGCAGAUACAGAGCUGUGAAAUUAACAGCAGAAAAUUCUGCUGCACACAGAAACACACAUCAGGCUGUUCCUGGGUCUUUACUCGGCAACACUGCUUUCCCCAGCCAGGCCCAUUGGCCUCCUUCUGACUGCCAGAGAGGAGGAGUACUCGAUCUGUGGGUUGGUCUGUCUGAUACACACUCUAGACAACUCCUCUUAACCUUUGGAAUGUAGACACACGCACACACACACACACGCACACACACACACACACGCACGCACACACACACACGCACACACACACACACACACAGAAACACAAUAUCUCUCUUUAGUAAACAAAUGCACCACGAUCUACAACAACUCCAACCACCACUGUUCAAGGAUUCCUCUCCAACCCCUUCAACAGCCCUCUAAACUAACCCGCAUCUCUGCAGACCACCCCACGGCAUCCUGCACCCACUCAGUAAAUACACACACUUACAUGCAAACACACUACACAAUGGAACAAAGAGCGAAAAAAGAAGGCGCCGGACAGAGAUCAGAAUAACGCCCCUUUAGGAAGACACCUGCUUCACCUCCUCCUCCUCACCCUCCUCUUCCACCUCUCCUUCCCUCCCAACCUGCAAAGUGUCGGCCGAGUCCCUCUCCUUCAGAAGAUGGCCGCCGUCUAAGUGGACUUGUCCCAGCCCAGCGGUCCAUACGAGUACAGGAUGGAAAUAGACAAGGAGCGGAAGCCGCUAGGCUGCUGGCAUACAGCCGCGCUCCUUUGAUAAGUGCUUCUCCAAUUCCCUCUGAAGGCCGGGAGAGAUUUACCACCACGUAGAUCCUGCAUGGGAACCGCAGUGGCAGGCUGUAACAUGAAAGAGGCCUUUGAAAGUCCAACAGCUCAACCAUACCUGCACGACGUGGUUUGUUUGUGUAGGCUCAUGUUUCAACGCGCACACCGUGCGUCAGGAUUUCACACAGGCACGCGAGGCAUCGAAAGCCAAACCUCUACCCUGUGACCUUUUAACCUCCUUGAGGCUGAUGUAUCGCGGGUGUACCACCAGCCAUCCAUUAUGACCCCUAUUUGUCUGCUUUCUGAAUGGGCUCACCCAAAUGCCAUCGUACCUUUCUCUACAUGUCAAACAACGUUUUUUCCAUGACCUCAGCAGUACGGCACUGUAAGCCAUUCUCUCGCCUCCACUCUCUUUCCCUGGACUUGGAAUCCUCCUUAAAUCCAGCUGGAAGAAACGUGUUCAAAAACAUCAACGGAAAAAUGUGUCAAUUGAGUUACCGUCCACAGAACAAAACUGCUGCCAGGGUUUUAAAGAGGCCAGAGACAAAUGGAGAAUAAGCAGAGUAUAAUGAAGUGAUGUUAACACAAUGUAAUAUUCCCCACAUUAAUUCAUCAUUCAUGGUGUCUCUUAAAAACCAUCUUUAAAAAAUAAAAUGGAAUUUGUCUUUUAAUAAAAUAGUGCGCGUCUCUUUCCCUCACUUUAAACUUAUUUCAUGACAUCUGUAGCAUUCCUACAUAUUUAUUAUCUCUAACUACAUUAAUUAAGGCUAUAUUUAGCCAGCGCUAUUGAUUUCUUGACCUGUGGGUAUGAAGGUUUCUUGAGAAAUGCCUAAAAAAG
This is a long non-coding RNA of Esox lucius (northern pike), 1711 nucleotides long. The record is from Ensembl. NCBI's taxonomy places the organism in Eukaryota, Metazoa, Chordata, Actinopteri, Esociformes, Esocidae.